Molecule: ribosomal RNA, 490 nt
Filed under: uncultured bacterium
Lineage: Bacteria
Description: partial 16S ribosomal RNA
Rfam family: Bacterial small subunit ribosomal RNA
Source: RNAcentral
AUUGAACGCUGGCGGCAGGCCUAACACAUGCAAGUCGAACGGUAACAGGAAGAAGCUUGCUUCUUUGCUGACGAGUGGCGGACGUGUGAGUAAUGUCUGGGAAACUGCCUGAUGGAGGGGGAUAACUACUGGAAACGGUAGCUAAUACCGCAUAACGUCGCAAGACCAAAGAGGGGGACCUUCGGGCCUCUUGCCAUCGGCUGUGCCCAGAUGGGAUUAGCUAGUAGGUGGGGUAACGGCUCACCUAGGCGACGAUCCCUAGCUGGUCUGAGAGGAUGACCAGCCACACUGGAACUGAGACACGGUCCAGACUCCUACGGGAGGCAGCAGUGGGGAAUAUUGCACAAUGGGCGCAAGCCUGAUGCAGCCAUGCCGCGUGUAUGAAGAAGGCCUUCGGGUUGUAAAGUACUUUCAGCGGGGAGGAAGGGAGUAAAGUUAAUACCUUUGCUCAUUGACGUUACCCGCAGAAGAAGCACCGGCUAACUCCGUG